CCGACGAGUGUGGAAAUUGGCAGAGGCAGCCGCAGCCGAGUGGAGCACUUGUUGCUGCUUUUGUGAGUGCAGGAGAAAAGACAACGGAGGAAAUUGGGGCGGCAGAGGGCUGGAGAUCUCAGCUGUCUGGGUUGUUUCUAUUGCUGGAGAGGCAAACUCGCCUGCGGGUUUUUUUAAUUGAGAUUAAAAUACUGGGCAAAUGCUCGAAGGACAGAGGAGCCAUUUCUGUCUCUCAGCUGGAGAAAAGGAGCAGGAGAAAGAACAGCUCAGGAGCUGGAAAAUCUGCUGAUGAGAGCCACUGCUAGCCCAUGCUUGUCCUGCCUUCUGAAAGUGGGGAAUAGCAGCAUGCAGUGUGGGGAGUGUUGGGCUGCAGACCACAACCAGAUACUGGAACACCAGACCUGGACUUCCCAUUCAGGCCACACACUGGCCUGGAGCCAGUAAAGGUGGAACACUGCAAACAUACUUCUACCUUUUCUGUAUUAUUUCCGAGACGGAGAACCUGAGGAAGCCCAGGCAACAC
Long non-coding RNA from Grus americana (Whooping crane), 523 nucleotides. RefSeq lists it as uncharacterized. The record is from RefSeq and is a predicted model, not a curated record. The transcript has 4 exons. NCBI's taxonomy places the organism in Eukaryota, Metazoa, Chordata, Aves, Gruiformes, Gruidae.